UAUUUAUAUAGUUUAAAAAACAUUACAUUUUCACUGUAAAAAUAGAAAUUUUUCUUAUAAAU
Molecule: transfer RNA, 62 nt
Filed under: Discolomatidae sp. 3 ACP-2013
Lineage: Eukaryota; Metazoa; Arthropoda; Insecta; Coleoptera; Discolomatidae
Description: tRNA-Glu
Source: RNAcentral